RNAcentral lists this ribosomal RNA (3849 nucleotides) under Triticum aestivum (bread wheat). Its description in RNAcentral is "partial small subunit ribosomal RNA". Lineage: Eukaryota; Viridiplantae; Streptophyta; Magnoliopsida; Poales; Poaceae. The record is from RNAcentral.
AUGGCGAGGCGGAGGCGGAGCGGGAGGGAGCGGAGGAGGGCGAGGCGGGAGGGCGGGUGCUGGGUGCGGAGGUGGAGCUGGCCGAGGUUGGAGGAGGAGGGUUGGUGGUGGUGGCAGACAGAGGGGGAGGAGGGCAGCAUUAGGGAGGGGGAGGCCAUGGCUGGCGGCGGGGCGAGGGGAGGUGGAGCUGGCCAGGGUCAACGUGUAGUUGGUCAGGGUACGCGGGCAAAAAUGGUUAUAAUAGGAGGAGAUGCUCAUGGCAAUGAAGAAGAUCGUUCUGGAAGUCAGUCGCUUCGCCGGAACUCGAAGUGUCCUGCUAAUCGCCAGCCACGACCUGCGCGGAGUGUUGAGCAGGGAGAGGAUGUUGAGGAUGCUGAUCAAUUCCGUGUUGUAAAGCGGACUAGAUGUGCAGCACUUCGAAAGGGAGUUGAGUCAUCUUCUAGGGCAGCAGUUGCUGGAGGAGCUGUCGCAUCUUCCGCAACAGAUGCUGAGGCCAGAGGUGAAGGAGUUGAGGUGGUUGCAGGGGAACUUUUGGAGCGGCCAUCACAAGCGGGCAGGAUAAGGGCAUCACCAGCGCGGUUUGCAAAUUUCAAUGCCUCUCUAACCCCACCACAGAAGUCAGAGCUAGUUUCGAGGUUGUUCGGGAGGUUAUUGAACUUAUCAGACACACUUCCAGCGGACCUCACUAAGUUCCUGGUGCAGUCCUACCAGCCACAGACCUCUGAAAUGGUUUUCCCAGGAAGGGGAAGGAUCUGUGUCGAUGCUGACAGUGUUCAGAGGAUCACUACAUGGCUCAAGAUGAUUGAGGAUAUGGUUGGAAGAACAGAUGAAACAUUCUUUAUGGCCUGGCUUGCGGUUGCCUUUAGCACUUUCCUAGCACCAACCACGGCCUUGAAGCUCAGCCCGAAGUGUUACGGACUUGUGCUAGAUCAUGAAAUGAUCAAGAACACAAACAUCUGCCUCUUUGUAGCAGAACACAUUAAUGAAGCUUUCCGGAACAUGGACCAGGAGAAGCAAACUGUCUGGUGCUGCUUGUAUCACUUGAUGAUACUAUACCUUGAUGAGCUUGUCCACGACAUCCCAGUAAGCAACUGCGCGAUACGAUCGAAUGCAUGGGAUAGUGCUCUAAUUGCCAAGGUGAUCAAGAAGGAUAAGAUCUCUCCUGGUGUGUUCGGCAAAUUACAAGAGUAUAGAGGCAUGGAGCAGACACCACUGUUUGGUGGAAUUUUGCAAGCUGAAGCAUUUGUGGCAUCCAAGUUACCAAUAACCUACAAUCCACAGAAAAAGGGAAAGAUUGCGAAAAUGCAGCCAUCAAUGCAAACCGGGGCGUCACACCGUGCUCCAAAAAGAAAGGGACGAGGGUCAACUAUACAAGAAGAAGAGUUUGUUGAGGAUGAGUCAGAAGAAGAUGAGGAAAUGGAAGCAGCGAUAGAUGUUGACGAUGACGGGGACACAGACGCGGAUGAAUCAGAGGAGGAGGACAAGGAUGAGGAUGACAAUGAAGAAGAUGCAGAGGAGGAGGAGGAGGAAGAGGAGGAGGAGGAGGAGGAGGAGGACACACAAGAAGAGGACAAAGGAGAGGAGGAGGAGGAGGAAGAAGAUAGUGAGGCAGGGGAGGAGGAAGAAGAAGGUGAGGCCGAAGAGGGGGACGGGGACAAAGGCGCAGCAGUUGAUGGCAGUGAGAGGGGAGAAGACAAAGGCGUAACAGUUGAUGGCAGUGAGAGGGAAGAAGACGAUGAUGAAGAAGACGAGGACGGUUAUGGUGAUGAUGUUGGGGGAUCCAAUGGAGGCAGCGACAGCAGCGAUGAUGACGAUGAUGACAGCGCCCCUGGUUCUAGUGGUACAGGCGGCAACACAUCCAGGAGGACUAGCACUUCUGCCACCCUUGCGAGCAGCAACAAUUCAUUGAGUAGCAGGAGCACACUACAGAUGUUAAUCGACAAAACUUGCUGGAAAAACAAGGAUUUGCCGAAGUCAAAGAAAAAUGACGAAGCAGAGUCUCAGAGCAGCAUUGAUAUGUUCAAACUCUGCAACUUGAAGCCAGCUUUGGCAACCACCUUUCCUGUUCUAGAUUUUAGCGACCAAGAUAUGUGUGAGAAGAUCAACUUUGUCAUUGACAAGAGCCUGUUCUUAUCAAGUAUUGCUGAAAAGAAUCAAGUUGACAUGGAGGAAGCAGGAAAAGGUCUUGACAGGGUUCAUUCAAAGGAAAAAUAUAAGGAAUAUUUGAAGCAGCUUCCAGACCUAAGCUCCGGCAAGAGUAAGGCAGAAUCCAUGGCAAACCCUCACGUGGUCCAGAAGCAUAAAGCAGUUUCAAUGAAGAAGAAUCUGCAGUUGCCUCAAACCAAGGAGAAGAUGGUGAGUGCAGAUGCUGAAGUAAAUAUGGUCAUGGAAGUUGUGCUUCAAACUGAUACGCCAACUGUAGUGAGCAGAGAGCCAACCACCAUCACAGGAGUUCAACAGAUCAAGGGGAAGACUCCCCUUUCAACAGUCCCACCAAAACCAUCUAAGCAACAAAAGAUUGUCAAGUUUGCUAGGAGCACAAAGGGGGAACAAGCAACAAAAAGUUUGGGGUUCAGAGACGAGAGAGAACUGCGAGCCGAAGCCAUUGAUGCAGGGGUGCCAAGUUCUGCUAGCUUGCUGCCAACUCAGACUGGAAAGAUGCCAACUACAGAUACCAAUGUGCCAACUGAUGUGUCAUCUAGCAGCGUGAUCAUAGUCAAAACUACCACAGCUGCUCAGGAAGGCACCACUACAACUGCAAGCCCCAAGGUGCCUACUCAUAGAGAUGCUUCAAUGCCAAACACAAAAGAAGGUGAUCCUACUACCAAAUUGCCGUCCCCAAGAGCCAGCACACAUCAUCCAAGCAAGCCUGCAUCACCAAGAGCUUACUUUCAGCAACCACUAACACAAGAGGAGGUGUUCAACAUUAUAAGUAGGUGCAAGCCUCCAAGGCCGCCAACUACAACACUACUGCGAACCAAGUCAGUGAACGAUGCACCUGUGUUUGUGCCGCAAGGAGAUGCCCUGGUCCUUGAACCCAUACGAAGAUCAAAGUCCUAUCAUGGUGACGGGGUCUGCGAUGCACCAUCUUUUGACCUCAGCAUAGAUGGUCAUGCUCCAGCACCUGCUCCAGCAGCAGAAACAGCGGAAGCCGGUGUGAUUCGUAUUGAUGAGUCAUCUCAAAGGUGUCCAUUCAUUGACUACAACAAGAAGAAGACUUUCAGCUCCAAUGAGGCAGUGAACAAGCUUUACGUUGCGCUCUUGUGUUGGGUCAGGCAUCACGAAGGAGCAAAUGAUGAAGCUACCAGGUAUGGUGCUUUCUACAUUUCUUUAAAGGAGUUAGUUGAUUCGAUGAAGCCGGUUCAAUGGCUUUCAAAAAUUGUUAUCGAGUCUAGAAUCUUACACAUCAUGGAUAACUUACGAGAAGGGUCAAAGAAGGUUGUUAUGCCACUGAGGUUUUCUAUGAAUUUACAGCAAGGGAUGCACAACGUGAAUGACAUAAACAAGAAGUUUGAUUGUAAGAACCGUCUCAUGAAGAAAGACUUGCUACAGCCUGUAUCUGUGUCUGAAAUUGUUCACGCUUUACAGGUCAUGCUGCCAGUGCUCGAGUGCGAUGAUGUAACCGAUAAGGAAGGAGGGAGGCACUAUUGGGUCUUCAAUGUCAACUUGAGGGACAGACGCUUCGAAGUUCUUGACUCAAGCAGGACGCUGGACAACAUUGAGCUGAUGAACACCGCCUCUACCAUCGCGGGGGCAGUACGUCAGCUAUGGAGCAAGCAUUACCCAAAGUUCAGCAUCGAGCACUUCCAGAUUAUUGACAUUGACGUACCGAAGCAGCUCGGCAAGUAA